AAUAUUUCACAAUGGGCGAAAGCCUGAUUCAGCAACGCCUCGGGAGCGAUGAAGGCCUUCCGGUCGUCAAGCUCUUUGAUCAGGGAUGAUAAUGACAGUACCUGAAAAACACGCCUCGGCCAACUACGUGCCAGCAGCCGCGGUAAUACGUAGGUGGCGAGCGUUGUCCGGAAUUACUGGGCGUAAAGGAUGCGUAGGUGGAUACUUAAGUGGGAUGUGAAAUCCCCGGGCUCAACCCGGGAACUGCAUUUCAAACUGGGUAUCUAGAGUGCAGGAGAGGAAAGCGGAAUUCCUAGUGUAGCGGUGAAAUGCGUAGAUAUUAGGAGGAACACCAGUGGCGAAGGCGGCUUUCUGGACUGUAACUGACACUGAGGCAUGAAAGCGUGGGUAGCAAACAGG
Molecule: ribosomal RNA, 399 nt
Filed under: uncultured bacterium
Lineage: Bacteria
Description: partial 16S ribosomal RNA
Rfam family: Bacterial small subunit ribosomal RNA
Source: RNAcentral